AGUGAGUCUUUGUGACGCUAUUACCUUGAAAAAUGUGAUCUUACUACCGUGUUCAAUGUGGCCAGUCUCCUGCCGGAAGAGCUCAUCACUGUGAAGGCGUUCAUCCACUCAUGCCUGGCGAUCUUAUCAGUUGAAUGCAACCAAUAACCACACUGAUUCCAUGGAAUUGGUACCCUCGAACUGCACUGCAAAGAAUCAUAGAUGUAUUAGUUCAAGAGAGUGGUGGUGGGUGAUGAAGUUGAUAUUGAUGAACCGGGACUCGGCAUUCCAAUGAGCUGUCAUAUCUCACCAGAUGUAAUCAAAAUACUGCAGACGACGAAAUAUGGAGGGGUUCACCGAUCCGCAGUAGUGGUAUACAAUAGGCCUGUUAAUUUUCUACUUGAACUCAAGUGAAGGCAAUAAACACACAGCCAUGAAAGAUCUCUAACUUGAUCUCCAUCUGUAUAUUAUGUGCAGUGAAGAUAUUGAGUUUGUCGCGGUAUCAGACGGGCUCCCGGACGAUCACCCUCGAUUGGCUGAUAUUGUUGCUUUCAGUGUCGCAUUUUCAGAAAGGGGACCUGUAUUUGCAGAGCUGUUAGUCAAAUUGCUUCGCAAGUCUCCAAUCACAUGCGUAAUACGUGAUAUUUCAUCGGGGGUCGUCCAGGAACCAGCCAGAAAAUUGGGCAUUCCAGUGGUGGGUUUCGGAACACCAUCUGCCAUUUCCAUCCAAUGUAGAACCCACAUAGAGACAUUCAUAGAAGCAGGGGUUUUACCGCUCCCACCUCCUCCGAUGAAUACUUCAACUCCAUCCCUCGAUCCAGUC
This 802-nucleotide long non-coding RNA is filed under the name Physcomitrium patens. Its description in RNAcentral is "long non-coding RNA (PPAT_LNC009815)". The record is from RNAcentral. Lineage: Eukaryota; Viridiplantae; Streptophyta; Bryopsida; Funariales; Funariaceae.